GUGGGGAAUUUUGGACAAUGGGGGCAACCCUGAUCCAGCAAUGCCGCGUGUGUGAAGAAGGCCUUCGGGUUGUAAAGCACUUUUGGCGGGAACGAAAGGGCCUGGGCUAAUACCCCGGGUCGAUGACGGUACUCGCAGAAUAAGCACCGGCUAACUACGUGCCAGCAGCCGCGGUAAUACGUAGGGUGCAAGCGUUAAUCGGAAUUACUGGGCGUAAAGCGAGCGCAGGCGGUCGUGUAAGACAGAUGUGAAAUCCCCGGGCUCAACCUGGGAACUGCAUUUGUGACUGCACGGCUAGAGUGCGUCAGAGGGGGGUGGAACUCCACGUGUAGCAGUGAAAUGCGUAGAGAUGUGGAAGAACACCGAUGGCGAAGGCAGCCCCCUGGGAUGACACUGACGCUCAUGCUCGAAAGCGUGGGGAGCAAACAGGAUUAGAAACCCCGGUAGUCC
RNAcentral lists this ribosomal RNA (450 nucleotides) under uncultured bacterium. Its description in RNAcentral is "bacterial SSU rRNA". It matches the Rfam family "Bacterial small subunit ribosomal RNA", at positions 354 to 796 of the family's 1533-position model. The record is from RNAcentral.